This 456-nucleotide long non-coding RNA is filed under the name Serinus canaria (Common canary). RNAcentral describes it as "lncRNA (ENSSCAG00000001131.1)". Lineage: Eukaryota; Metazoa; Chordata; Aves; Passeriformes; Fringillidae. The record is from RNAcentral.
AGCCCAUGCUUUGCUGGGAAUUAGCUCAGUGCUCCUGCUGAGACUGGGAAUCACAGACUGGAACUAAGAAUAACUGAAAGAAGGCAGAGAACAAACACCACCAGCUCCCCUCACUGUCAUCAACAUCGAAGUACUUUUCUGAAGCAAAAUGUUAAGAAGCUGAGACUGGACAUUUAAAGACUUGAAAGUUACUGAAUUUUCUGCCCAACUUGAUGUGGGAAAAUAUGCAGAAGAUAAUGCUGGUGUCUCAGGUGUUCUCAAGAGCUCAAUAAGAGAUGGAAAAAUUCCAGAAAUACAAAUCUAAAAUGGGUGGAGAGGUUCAGUGCCCAGCUCUGCAGUAUUGCCUUGGAGAUGCCUCCUUUUGGCUUUCGUGCCUUGUUUCAUGGGGAGCCUCUCAACAGAGUGGGCUUAACUAGGUAAGUCUGUGUGGCUGUAACUGUUACUAAUGUGCCCAAA